Molecule: ribosomal RNA, 363 nt
Filed under: Triticum aestivum (bread wheat)
Lineage: Eukaryota; Viridiplantae; Streptophyta; Magnoliopsida; Poales; Poaceae
Description: partial small subunit ribosomal RNA
Source: RNAcentral
AUGGGGGCACAAGACGAGGGUAGCCGGCGGCCGCCGCCGCCAGGGCCCGCCCCUGGCCAGUCCGCCGCAACCGCGGGCACGGCGCCGCCGCCCAUCACCCCAGCCCAGUUCCUCUCCUGGAAGCAGCGGAAGCGGCUAGCUAAAUGCGCUGUGAUCUCAUGGUGGUUUCCCUUGGCUAGACCAUGGAAAUCACUCGUGAUUUGUGGGCUUCUCUCUGGAUGCACGCCCGAUGCAGAAGAAGCUGCAGAGAAAGCUGAAGCAGCUCAGAAGCGAGCCGCGGAUAUAGCUUCAGGUGCAGUGCAAAUGAAUGGCCGAGAGCUGUUCCAGCAUGAACCCUGGGUGUUUGACAACAACAUUUACUGA